UACGGGGGGAGCAAGCGUUGUUCGGAUUUACUGGGCGUAAAGGGCGCGUAGGCGGUCAGUGCAAGUCAGUUGUGAAAUCUCCGGGCUUAACUCGGAACGGUCAACUGAUACUGCUCGACUAGAGUGCGGAAGGGGCAACUGGAAUUCUUGGUGUAGCGGUGAAAUGCGUAGAUAUCAAGAGGAACACCUGCGGCGAAGGCGGGUUGCUGGGCCGACACUGACGCUGAAGCGCGAAAGCUAGGGGAGCGAACGGG
This 254-nucleotide ribosomal RNA is filed under the name uncultured prokaryote. RNAcentral's name for it is "partial 16S ribosomal RNA". It matches the Rfam family "Bacterial small subunit ribosomal RNA", at positions 524 to 776 of the family's 1533-position model. The record is from RNAcentral.